This 497-nucleotide ribosomal RNA is filed under the name uncultured bacterium. RNAcentral describes it as "partial 16S ribosomal RNA". It matches the Rfam family "Bacterial small subunit ribosomal RNA", at positions 899 to 1397 of the family's 1533-position model. The record is from RNAcentral.
ACUCAAAUGAAUAGACGGGGGCCCGCACAAGCAGUGGAGCAUGUGGUUUAAUUCGAAGCAACGCGAAGAACCUUACCAGGACUUGACAUCCCGCUGAUCGGAGUAGAGAUAUUCCUUCCCUUCGGGGCAGCGGUGACAGGUGGUGCAUGGUUGUCGUCAGCUCGUGUCGUGAGAUGUUGGGUUAAGUCCCGCAACGAGCGCAACCCUUGAACUGUGUUGCCAGCAUUCAGUUGGGCACUCACAGUUGACUGCCGGUGACAAACCGGAGGAAGGCGGGGAUGACGUCAAAUCAUCAUGCCCCUUAUGUCCUGGGCUACACACGUGCUACAAUGGGCGGUACAACGGGAAGCAAGACCGCGAGGUGGAGCCAAACCCUGAAAACCGUUCGUAGUUCGGAUUGCAGGCUGCAACUCGCCUGCAUGAAGCCGGAAUUGCUAGUAAUCGCGGAUCAGCAUGCCGCGGUGAAUCCGUUCCCGGGCCUUGCACACACCGCCCGU